ACUAUUUAAGCUGCCAUAGUGGGUUGCUCGGAUUCCGGCGCUGGGAAUCAACAAGUUGGACAUCCACUCAGAGACCUAAUUUGAAAGUCGGUAAUUACAA
This is a long non-coding RNA of Sapajus apella (tufted capuchin), 100 nucleotides long. RefSeq lists it as uncharacterized. The record is from RefSeq and is a predicted model, not a curated record. The transcript has 3 exons. Lineage: Eukaryota; Metazoa; Chordata; Mammalia; Primates; Cebidae.